AUUGAACGCUGGCGGCAUGCCUUACACAUGCAAGUCGAACGGCAGCACGGGUGCUUGCACCUGGAGGCGAGUGGCGAACGGGUGAGUAAUACAUCGGAACAUGUCCUGUAGUGGGGGAUAGCCCGGCGAAAGCCGGAUUAAUACCGCAUACGAUCUACGGAUGAAAGCGGGGGACCUUCGGGCCUCGCGCUAUAGGGUUGGCCGAUGGCUGAUUAGCUAGUUGGUGGGGUAAAGGCCUACCAAGGCGACGAUCAGUAGCUGGUCUGAGAGGGCGACCAGCCACACUGGGACUGAGACACGGCCCAGACUCCUACGGGAGGCAGCAGUGGGGAAUUUUGGGCAAUGGGCGAAAGCCUGAUCCAGCAAUGCCGCGUGUGUGAAGAAGGCCUUCGGGUUGUAAAGCCCUUUUGUCCGGGAAGAAAACCUUUGCCCUUAAACGGUCGGGGGAUGACGGUACCGGAAGAAUAAGCACCGGCUAACUACGUG
Molecule: ribosomal RNA, 486 nt
Filed under: uncultured bacterium
Lineage: Bacteria
Description: partial 16S ribosomal RNA
Rfam family: Bacterial small subunit ribosomal RNA
Source: RNAcentral